This 740-nucleotide ribosomal RNA is filed under the name uncultured Actinomycetes bacterium. Its description in RNAcentral is "bacterial SSU rRNA". It matches the Rfam family "Bacterial small subunit ribosomal RNA", at positions 768 to 1506 of the family's 1533-position model. The record is from RNAcentral. Lineage: Bacteria; Bacillati; Actinomycetota; Actinomycetes.
GCAAACCAGGAUUAGAUACCCUGGUAGUUCACGCUGUAAACGGAUGGGCCCCAGAUGUGGGGAGGUGUCGACUCCCUCCCGUGUCGUAGCUAACGCAUAGUGCCCCGCCUGGGGAGUACGGCCGCAAGGCUAAAACUCAAAGGAAUUGACGGGGGCCCGCACAAGCAGCGGAGCAUGUGGUUUAAUUCGACGCAACGCGAAGAACUUACUGGGCUUGACAUGUCCGUGACCGCCAUAGAAAUAUGGUUUCUCUUCGGAGCACGGUCACAGGUGGUGCAUGGCUGUCGUCAGCUCGUGCGUGAGAUGUUGGGUUAAGUCCCGCAACGAGCGCAACCCCCCGUCGUAUGUUGCCAGCAUUUAGUUGGGGACUCAUACGAGACUGCCGGUGACAAACCGGAGGAAGGUGGGGAUGACGUCAAGUCAUCAUGCCCCUCAUGUCCAGGGCUACACACGUGCUACAUUGGCGCAUACAGAGGGCUGCGAGACCGCGAGGUGGAGCGAAUCCCUUAAAGUGCGUCUCGGUUCGGAUUGCAGGCUGAAACUCGCCUGCAUGAAGGUGGAGUUGCUAGUAAUCGCGGAUCAGCAUUGCCGCGGUGAAUACGUUCCCGGGCCUUGUACACACCGCCCGUCACACCACGGGAGUAAGCAACACCCGAAGCCGGUGUCCUAACCCUUACGGGAGGGAGCCGUCGAAGGUGGGGCUUGUGACUGGGGUGAAGUCGUAACAAGGUAACCGUAAA